AUAGCGUAUAUUAAAGUUGUUGUGGUUAAAAAGCUCGUAGUUGAACCUUGGGCCUGGCUGGCCGGUCCGCCUCACCGCGUGUACUGGUCCGGCCGGGCCUUUCCCUCUGUGGAACCCCAUGCCCUUCACUGGGUGUGGCGGGGAAACAGGACUUUUACUUUGAAAAAAUUAGAGUGCUCCAGGCAGGCCUAUGCUCGAAUACAUUAGCAUGGAAUAAUAGAAUAGGACGUGCGGUUCUAUUUUGUUGGUUUCUAGGAUCGCCGUAAUGAUUAAUAGGGACGGUUGGGGGCAUUAGUAUUCAGUUGCUAGAGGUGAAAUUCUUAGAUUUACUGAAGACUAACAUCUG
This 346-nucleotide ribosomal RNA is filed under the name uncultured eukaryote. RNAcentral describes it as "SSU rRNA". It matches the Rfam family "Eukaryotic small subunit ribosomal RNA", at positions 594 to 945 of the family's 1831-position model. The record is from RNAcentral.